This 4318-nucleotide long non-coding RNA is filed under the name Amborella trichopoda. Its description in RNAcentral is "long non-coding RNA (ATRI_LNC004563)". Lineage: Eukaryota; Viridiplantae; Streptophyta; Magnoliopsida; Amborellales; Amborellaceae. The record is from RNAcentral.
CUCGCUGUUACUUUCAUCAUCUCCCUUUAUUAUCCCCUCAGUACCUGUCUCUAUAUGAGUAUUAUUCAAUAACAGAUCAUGGGAUGCCUAUAUAUAACAUUUGGAUUCCCCUGCUAAUACUUUACCAGUAAGUGCAGCUUGUAGCAUCCCUAUACAGGUAUGUCGCUACAUGUAGACAAUAAAAAAAUAAAAUAGUCUAUUAGUUUUAUUUUUUGUAAAUUUUUAAUACAUAUUAAGACAAUAAACUAACAAAAUACCAAAAAACAACUAUAGUUAUACCAAUCUCCUAUCGUCAUCAUCGCUCGUAGAGCAUUGUACAUAUGAUUGCGACUGUGACGGCGUACAUGGGGGUAUUUGUAAUUCUAUGUGUAAACAUGUUAUACCAGGCCAUGUACUCUUUUGUAGGUACUCCACCAAAUUUAUCCACAGCUGUUGUGACAAUAUUACGUUCUCGUUGUUGUCAAUCGUUUAUCUGCGUGCUCAACUCUUCAGUCCAAUUUGUGGGAUGUAUACCGACUUUCUCCCUCCUAUCCCACGUGGGAGGCACAACAGGAAUUCGUUGCACCUCCCCAAAUUGUCGUAGCAUGUGAUCAGACAUAUAGUACUUUGCAAUGUUGAAGCUUAUUAGGCAUGAUCCGCACAACGCACUUUAUUUUCUGACCAGAUCUAAUGGCCUAUACUCCUCAUCAUGAGACUCCUAAUAUGGUUGUCAGUUCACUUACAAAAAAAACAUGGCGUAAUGAAUACUUAUUCGUAUUUAAUCUUAGAUAGAUUAUCUAUAGUUAUAUAACCACACAAGCAAACCACUAACCAUAUCAAAUGAGAUGUCAUCAAAUGAGAUGCUUUUGUGACAUGAUUGUUUCUUUCAAAGACAAGCUCUGGGCAUUAUUGGGCUGAUCAAUGUAGGCUUGGUGCCUAGAGUUAAAAAAUGCUUAUAGAUCCAGCAUUGCACCAAAAAUAGUAAGAAACAAAAAGUAAGAAGGCAAAGAAGUUGUAAAUAUGUAAAUAUAUAUUAUAAAGAUAGUGGAAAAUACCUAUAAUAAGGUCAUUGACCCACUAAAAUGUGUUUUCCCGCUCGCGACCUAUGAUAAGGAACGAUACAAGAAGGCAAGCACCGCAAUACCCCAUGUAUAUUGUCCUGCAUCAUUAAAAUUUUGAAACAAUUGCAAGUACAUUGCAAGCGUGGAUCAUUUAUAUGAGUCGGCAAAUAUAGGUGUACCGACAAAAUAAAGGAGAUACGCUCGAGUAUGUUGCAUGAGGUGUACUUUGGUGGCAUUUUUUAGUAAUUUCCUGAAUCUCGUACUGGGCAAGUGUUGUAGUCCACGUUUCAGCUUUCAAUAUGCGAGUUGCCAUUAGUUUCAUGAUUAGUCUCCUAAUCAAAUCAACGUACUGGAGAAUUGGUAUGUAUCGUGCUUCUAGAAUCCACGAGUUAUAUAACUCAGCCACAUUGGUUGUUACUUGGGUAUAUCACCUACCACUAAAAAGUGAUGUGGCCCAACGGUCUGGCGAUGCUUCCAUGAACCACUUGAAUAAGUCUUUAGAAAUUGAUCUAAUCUCACUCGUCUUCUUAAAAUACUAUUGCGGCAUGUCUGCUCUACACGCUCCGAUGAAGGAUAUUACAACUUCCUUCUUAACAUCAUUAUGUAUGUGUUGUACUUCCUUCUUGAAAUUCUCCAAUAAAUGAUACUCAAAUAAUACAUGAUGUGUAUUCUCAAAUACUUGACAGACAAUAUAAACUAGACCAGGAUGUCUAUUUGAUAAAAAAAUGAAUUCUCAAUCAGUCACAAUAGCAAUCUUUAAAGAUUCUAUAAACCAUAACCAGUUAUCGGUACUUUCGGCAUCCAUAAUAGAUAAUGCAAUAUGAAACAUUCGUCCUUCCCCAUCGAGUGAGUUAGCAGCAAGCAGAAUCCUAAGGUAUCGUGCCUUCAGUAAUGUCCCAUCGAGAAAUAGAAGUGGACGACAUCCACUUUUGAAGCCAUGUAUUAAGACAUAAAAGCUUAAGAACAAUCGACGAAAUCAACCAUCAUUUUGUCAUACUUGUCAUGUUGCAUAACUAUCAAGAUUUGUCUCCAUCACACGGUUUACAUAUGCAGGUAACUGGUUGUAUAUAUCCUCUUGCGAUCCAUGUAUGUCUUUGGUGGCCAUUUCUAUCUCUCGUCAAGCCUUGCAAUAGGGUAAUUCUAACCCAUAAUCUCGAGACAAAUCAUCAAUUAAUUUAUCAUCGUUUAAGGAUGCAACAAAUUUUUAGGACGCUCUUCUUUGUACAUCAUUGCUUGUCCCAAUAUUACAUGAGUGUUCUUUUUUCCAUGUUUUGAUGCUAAAAAUAUUUGUCCUGCCAAACUUCGAUGCAUAUAUGUCCCAUUUGCAUCCAUCACCCUUGCCUUCGCCCUUAUGCGAUACGCCUCAUUUUUAACGUGACGGUAUCCAAAAUAGUGUGCUAUAGAAAACUUGCUAAGGGUUUCUUGAAAAUCAUCUAGAGAUUCAAACCGUUGCCUUAUCCCGGUAAGUGCAUCAUCCCAUGAACUAAAAAACCUUGGUGCAUUACUUUGUUCGGAACUAGAGACCAAAAAAAUUAGAGGAUUAGGGGGUCUAACAUCUUCAAUUGCCCUGGUAUUACGUGAAGUACUUCCACCCCUAUAUUCACUCCCAUCAAAUACAUAGACAAACAUAUUAUUCUCGCCUUCAUAUAUAUUCAGCAUCCUCUCAAUAUCAUCAUCAAUGAAUAGGUUCACAAUAAAUCUUCUAUUUAUCGGGAUAGAAUACCCCAAUGACAUCAAGUGUAUGUCAAGUGAGAAACUCUCUUCUACGUGUUUUCACGUGUCAUCUAACCUAGUACUACCAUUAGUAAAAAAUGUAUAUGCAUCAUCCCAAUAUAAUCUAAAGUCUCAUCGACCCUUGAUCAAAGUUCUCCACAAAAAAUGCAAUAAACCAAUCUGCUAUCACCCAUUUUCUUUUGUCUUGCAUAAGAUUUGUAAUAACUUACCUUCCACAUGUUGCAUUACAACGUUUUAAUAAUGGCUUUGAACUUGCCCAAGUUUGGUAGGCUCAAGCUAGAAUUUUUUAAAAAAAACUACUACUAAAUUUUAACAAGAGCUAGGAAUAUUAUUGGGAGGUAUAUAAACUACAUAAGUAUUUCUAACAAGGAUUGUCUUAAUAUUGUAAUCUUAAUGAUUUUACCCAGUUAAUGUCACGAUAUUUUAGUAAAUGAUGGAAACAGUCUUGAAAUAAAGAGCCUCUCAAGACUACCCAACUUUUAAGAUGAAUAUGCAAUUCAAUAUUUAUACGAUUAAAAGACUAAUUUAUAUUCAAGAAUGAGGACAUAAGCCCCAUUGUCUUUCACACUAGCAUAAUGCCGUUCUUUUGCAAACUGAAACAAAAACUAAUGAGUUUGUAGACGUAAACAUAUACCGCUAAUAAAUGAUUCGAAUGCAUUUAAAAUUGGAGAAAAACUUCAUCCUAAAGUUCUAGUAAAUAAACAAUACCAUUUCUCUAAGCUACAGUUCAACCUAACAAUAUCGAUGAACACAAUAUAUACAACUAGCAAUAUAGACCAUCCUAAAGUCUGUUUUUUGGGGGGGGUUUUUAAAGAGCUAUUACUAAAGUUGACAAGAGCUAGGCAUUUUUUUUUUUUAAUAACUAAAUUUUAACAAGAGAAAGAUGAUGGAUCAUCAAAUAAGAAACAAUCGAUGCAAAAAAAACCAACAGAAAAUAAAUACAGCAAAACAAACUCAAAAUUUACUACCACCAAGAACAUUCAAGCCCUAAAAUGUCAAUAGAUAAAAAAUAACAAACUUCAUAAAACAUUUAAAAAAAAAACUUCAAUAAAUCUUAAUCCAUAAGCAAUCCAUCCUUUCAUUGUCAAUGACAGAUCAAAUACAAUCAAUUUUGACGAACAAUAACCCAAAAACAGAUUUAAGCGAUUUUCUUAAAUAAAUAUGCUAUAUAUUUUGUAUGAAAAUUAAAUAAAAAAAUAUUUCAUACUUUUGAUGGGGCUGAUUUGGGGCCGAGAGAUAAGCUAAAAAUCGAGCUCGAGCUUUGGGGGUUUGGGCUGGGGCGGAGAAAUUGAGACCCAGGCUAAUUCACAGAGAGAAUGAGAGAUCAGUCGUGGUAUCCUUGUAGAGAGAGAGGGAGAAAGCUUAGGCCUUCACAGAGAGAAAGACCAUGGUUUAUUGGGCCAAAAGUCCUUUGAAGAGAGAGAGAGGGAGAGAGCUUGAGCAGGGAGAGAGAGCGUGAGACAGGGAGGGAGCUCGGGUGAGAGAGAGAGGGAGUGAGCUCAGAUUGUAGGGUGAGAGAACGAGAGAGAAGGAGACAACAUGAG